This 87-nucleotide transfer RNA is filed under the name Gemmatimonadota bacterium. RNAcentral's name for it is "Gemmatimonadetes bacterium (groundwater metagenome) tRNA-Leu". Lineage: Bacteria; Pseudomonadati; Gemmatimonadota. The record is from RNAcentral.
GCCGGGCGCGGUAAGGCGCGGAACGUAGGGCCGUACUUAAAAUCCUCGGCCCGCAAGGGCGUGUGGGUUCGACUCCCACCCUCGGCA